UAAUACGUAGGGGGCAAGCGUUGUCCGGAAUUAUUGGGCGUAAAGCGCGCGCAGGCGGCCUGUUAAGUCUGGUGUUUAAGCCCGGGGCUCAACCCCGGUUCGCAUCGGAAACUGGCAGGCUGGAGUGCAGGAGAGGAAAGCGGAAUUCCACGUGUAGCGGUGAAAUGCGUAGAGAUGUGGAGGAACACCAGUGGCGAAGGCGGCUUUCUGGACUGUAACUGACGCUGAGGCGCGAAAGCGUGGGGAGCAAACAGGAUUAGAUACCCUGGUAGUCCACGCCGUAAACGAUGAGUGCUAGGUGUCGGGGGUUUCGAUACCCGCGGUGCCGAAGUUAACGCAAUAAGCACUCCGCCUGGGGAGUACGCUCGCAAGAGUGAA
This 378-nucleotide ribosomal RNA is filed under the name uncultured bacterium. RNAcentral describes it as "bacterial SSU rRNA". It matches the Rfam family "Bacterial small subunit ribosomal RNA", at positions 521 to 898 of the family's 1533-position model. The record is from RNAcentral.